Molecule: ribosomal RNA, 410 nt
Filed under: uncultured bacterium
Lineage: Bacteria
Description: bacterial SSU rRNA
Rfam family: Bacterial small subunit ribosomal RNA
Source: RNAcentral
GAACGCUGGCGGCGCGCCUAAUACAUGCAAGUCGAGCGAGAAGACGUAGCAAUACGUUUGUAAAGCGGCGAACGGGUGAGGAAUACAUGGGUAACCUACCCUCGAGUGGGGAAUAACUAGCCGAAAGGUUAGCUAAUACCGCGUACGCUCCUUGGACUUCGGUUCAGGGAGGAAAGCGAUACCGUGGGUAUCGCGCUCUUGGAUGGGCUCAUGUCCUAUCAGCUUGUUGGUGAGGAACGGCUCACCAAGGCUUCGACGGGUAGCUGGUCUGAGAGGACGAUCAGCCACACUGGCACUGCGACACGGGCCAGACUCCUACGGGAGGCAGCAGUAAGGAAUAUUGCGCAAUGGGCGAAAGCCUGACGCAGCGACGCCGCGUGGGGGAUGAAGGUCUUCGGAUUGUAAACCCC